RNAcentral lists this ribosomal RNA (255 nucleotides) under uncultured bacterium. RNAcentral describes it as "partial 16S ribosomal RNA". It matches the Rfam family "Bacterial small subunit ribosomal RNA", at positions 77 to 334 of the family's 1533-position model. The record is from RNAcentral.
CAAACUGGAGAUGGCGACCGGCGCACGGGUGAGUAACACGUAUCCAACCUGCCGAUAACUCGGGGAUAGCCUUUCGAAAGAAAGGUUAAUACCCGAUGGCAUAAUAGAACCGCAUGGUUUGAUUAUUAAAGAAUUUCGGUUAUCGAUGGGGAUGCGUUCCAUUAGGCAGUUGGUGGGGUAACGGCCCACCAAACCUUCGAUGGAUAGGGGUUCUGAGAGGAAGGUCCCCCACAUUGGAACUGAGACACGGUCCAA